CAGGAUAAAAAGCAGGAGCAGAGAAGGAAAGAUGUUCAUCUGCAGCUCCUUUCAUCGCUGCUGCAGGAGGAAGAAAACAUUCAGUCUCUGCGUCCUUGAACGAGGAGGUGAAAGAGAAGGAGGUCACCUCUUUAAGAGCAGUCACCUCCUCAGAGCUGCUUUCAUCAUCUGCAGCCUCCACAACACAACAACGCUGCAUGCUUUCCUUUUC
Molecule: long non-coding RNA, 211 nt
Organism: Centropristis striata (black sea bass)
Lineage: Eukaryota; Metazoa; Chordata; Actinopteri; Perciformes; Serranidae
Exons: 3
Source: RefSeq, a predicted model, not a curated record